AUGGCGAUGCAUCCUCAGGCUGCUUCACUCCUCACCCUCAUCCUCCUCCUGGCUACCGGAGACGGCAUCCUCGCCGUCGGCACUCCGUCCGCGAUCAUCACAAGGACAUGCGCCGCCGUCGGCCGAGCCGGUGGGCAACUGGGCUACGAGUACGACUCCUGCGUGGGCGCGCUCUCGUCCGACCCGGCGGCCGCGUCCGCCAAGGACGCGCGUGAGCUCGCCGUCGUGGCCACCAACCUCACUGUGGCCAACGUCACGUCGACGGUGCUCGUCGUCGAGGACCUCGUCAAGAACCUCGGCGGCUGCCUCCGCUACUACAAGGAGAUGAACAGGACCCUUGAGGGCGCGCUCGGUGACCUCCGUGCCGGGCGCGUCGAAGCGGCGUCGGACAAACUGCUGGAGGCCAACCAAGAUCCCGACAAGUGCGACGUGCUCUUGUUCGAGGGGAGCGCGAACAAGAAUCCAUUGGGCAAGGAGAACAUCUACGCCGACUGGCUGUCCCAAUUGGCAUAUGCGAUUGCUAGCUUGCCGGCGCCGAAGCCUCUGCUGUAA
RNAcentral lists this ribosomal RNA (552 nucleotides) under Triticum aestivum (bread wheat). RNAcentral's name for it is "partial small subunit ribosomal RNA". The record is from RNAcentral. Lineage: Eukaryota; Viridiplantae; Streptophyta; Magnoliopsida; Poales; Poaceae.